Molecule: ribosomal RNA, 497 nt
Filed under: uncultured bacterium
Lineage: Bacteria
Description: partial 16S ribosomal RNA
Rfam family: Bacterial small subunit ribosomal RNA
Source: RNAcentral
GAUGAACGCUGGCGGCGUGCCUAAUACAUGCAAGUCGAGCGAACAGACGAGGAGCUUGCUCCUCUGACGUUAGCGGCGGACGGGUGAGUAACACGUGGAUAACCUACCUAUAAGACUGGGAUAACUUCGGGAAACCGGAGCUAAUACCGGAUAAUAUAUUGAACCGCAUGGUUCAAUAGUGAAAGACGGUUUUGCUGUCACUUAUAGAUGGAUCCGCGCCGCAUUAACUAGUUGGUAAGGUAACGGCUUACCAAGGCAACGAUGCGUAGCCGACCUGAGAGGGUGAUCGGCCACACUGGAACUGAGACACGGUCCAGACUCCUACGGGAGGCAGCAGUAGGGAAUCUUCCGCAAUGGGCGAAAGCCUGACGGAGCAACGCCGCGUGAGUGAUGAAGGUCUUCGGAUCGCAAAACUCUGUUAUUAGGGAAGAACAAAUGUGUAAGUAACUAUGCACGUCUUGACGGUACCUAAUCAGAAAGCCACGGCUAACUACGUG